Molecule: long non-coding RNA, 2845 nt
Filed under: Ananas comosus (pineapple)
Lineage: Eukaryota; Viridiplantae; Streptophyta; Magnoliopsida; Poales; Bromeliaceae
Description: long non-coding RNA (ACOM_LNC003164)
Source: RNAcentral
UUGUAUUGGAGAGCGCGGUGUUGGUGUGGCCAGUAUCAUUGAUUGUGUGCCGGGAUUUCAGGAUUUAUUUGAAAAAGAAAAUCUUCAUCAGAUUUGUGAUUUUCCGGAACAAACUGGAUUCUGUUUGGAGUUGAUUAGAGAGUUCUAUAUGCGAGCAGGUUACUUGAAUGACUCCGACGGGGGCCCGUACGUAUUCACAUACAAUUAAUUCCUAGGUCUUGCAUUAUGUGUAGAAUUUUAUUUUAUAUGUAUUUAGAAUUUUCAUUGAUUAUCGGGUCAACAAUUUUGCCAAAUUGAAUAUCCUUGAUAUUGAUUUUUCAAAACUUAUUUAUGAAAUUUUAUUUGAAAUUUUUGGGGAUGGAAAUUGGUUAUUUAUGUUGAUUGAACAUUGUGGAAUUACUUGUAAUUUUUCUGAAAAAAAUUUUGAGCUUAAAUUAAAAAUUUUUCAAAAUUAAGGCUCUGGGACCGGUCCCAGGCAAGAGAGACCGAUCCCUCCGCCCGAACCAGAUAUAAAGGUUUGCGGUCUUUCAUAUGUUACUUUACCAAUUUCGUUCAUCUUCUUCUCCUGAGCUUCUAAUACUCCCAGAGUGAUUUUGGUUUCCUCUUUCAUCAUUUUACACUGAUUUUAAGUAUGAUUUUCGAAUUUUGUUGCAUUUAUAUCAUAUACUCCGAAAAUGUGUUUCGUUUUAGAUUUUGUGGUGGUUUUUCCUAAAGAUCUAGCUGAUUCUGUCAUUUAGAGUUUCGAUCUUGUUAUUAGAUUUGUUCUCUUCAUAUUGUCUUGUAUUUCUUCAUCUUUUGAUCAAUUUUUGUAGGUUUUCAUCUUCAAAACUUAGUUUUUUCAAAAUUUUUGGGAAUCAUUGUAACGACCCAGCCCACUAGCAAUAAUAACUCGUUGGGCCCAAACACCAGCCCAAAAAUGCUUAAGCCCAGUUAUUAUUACUAGUGUCUAAGUCUCUUAUAAACCCAAUGACAACCCCUUUCCCAUCCGAUGUGGGACUAUGUCACAGACUCCCCCCGUUAAGGCCCUGACGUCCUCGUCAGUUCAAUCACACACACAGCCCAAGAUCACCAGGCGAUGUGAGACUCGUCUCGCUAGCCCGUCAUCCAGACCCUGGCUCAGCCGAGACUCGCCACACAUGUCCAGCUGGUGAACCGGCUCUGAUACCAAAUGUAACGACCCAGCCCACUAGCAACAAUAACUCGUUGGGCCCAACCACCGGCCCAAAAUGCUUAAGCCCAGUUAUUAUUACUAGUGUCUAAGUCUCUUAUAAACCCAAUGACAACCCCAUUCCCAUCCGAUGUGGGACUAUUGGGGUGUCACAGACUCCCCCCGUUAAGGCCCUGACGUCCUCGUCAGUCCAAUCACACACACAGCCCAAGAUCACCAGGCGAUGUGAGACUCGUCUCGCUAGCCCGUCAUCCAGACCCUGGCUCAGCCGAGACUCGCCACACAUGUCCAGCUGGUGAACCGGCUCUGAUACCAAAUGUAACGACCCAGCCCACUAGCAACAAUAACUCGUUGGGCCCAAACCAACAGCCCAAAAUGCUUAAGCCCAGUUAUUAUUACUAGUGUCUAAGUCUCUUAUAAACCCAAUAACAACCCCAUUUCCAUCCGAUGUGGGAUUAUUGGGGUGCCACAGACUCCCCCCGUUAAGGCCCUGACGUCCUCGUCAGUCCAAUCACACACACAGCCCAAGAUCACCAGGCAAUGUGAGACUCGUCUCGCUAGCCCGUCAUCCAGACCCUGGCUCAGCCGAGACUCGCAACACAUGUCCAGCUGGUGAACCGGCUCUGAUACCAAAUGUAACGACCCAGCCCACUAGCAACAAUAACUCGUUGGGCCCAACCACUGGCCCAAAAUGCUUAAGCCCAAUUAUUAUUACUAGUGUCUACUAAGUCUCUUAUAAACCCAAUGACAACCCCUUUCCCAUCCGAUGUGGGACUAUUGGGGUGUCACAAUCAUGUGGUUUUACUGAUUUUUGUUUCAUAAGUUGUUCAUGCUUCUCAUGUUUUGUGGCCCCUAGGAUUAUCUAGCAUCUAUAUAUCAAUUUGCUGAAAAUUUUUGGAAUUAAAGAAAUGUUCUUAUGUUUCAUAUGUAAAAUUCAUUAUGUUUAAUAGGUGAUUUUUCGAAAAUGUCCUCGUGGAUUCUUGUACUUGUGGUCCUUAUGGCUGGGGGUGGUCGCGGAAGCAAACGACGGCGCUCCAAAGCUAAACGGCCGGUUGAGCAACAACCAGAAGAUGAAGGGAGCGAAUAUGCUCCAGGCGACGAAUCUGAAGAGGACGAGCCGGAUUGGGAGGCUUUUGCUCCUGAGGUGUUAGCUAAGGAUAAGGAUACAGGAAAAGGAAAAGGAAAAGGAAAAGACGUGGAUAAAGGCAAAGGAAAGGCAACUGAACGUACCGGUCGUCGCAAGUCUGGGGGUGUUGAAAUUAGAGAACCAGGUUCUGAGCCUCCGCGUCAUAGUCUGCAGGAUGUUCCGUCUGCUCGAAGGUCAAUGUACUCGUCGAAGCAUUGUAUUGGAGAGCGCGGUGUUGGUGUGGCCAGUAUCAUUGAUUGUGUGCCGGGAUUUCAGGAUUUAUUUGAAAAAGAAAAUCUUCAUCAGAUUUGUGAUUUUCCGGAACAAACUGGAUUCUGUUUGGAGUUGAUUAGAGAGUUCUAUAUGCGAGCAGGUUACUUGAAUGACUCCGACGGGGGCCCGUACGUAUUCACAACUUAUGUACGUGGUGUUGAGUUAUCAAUCACUCCUGAUACGAUAGCGUCUGUGCUAGGUAUGGAAGCAAGGACAGAGGGAGUGGAAUAUCUGCAGGCUGGGUUUGACUCACUUCGGGAUUGGAACCGUAUCGUGAA